Non-coding RNA from Acanthosepion pharaonis, 112 nucleotides. Lineage: Eukaryota; Metazoa; Mollusca; Cephalopoda; Sepiida; Sepiidae. The record is from the annotation of a GenBank genome assembly.
UAUGGCCAUAUAACGUUAAACACCGACCCCCGUACGAUCACCAAAGCUAAGCAACGUCGAACUUGGCCGGUACUUAGAUGGGUAACCGCUUGUGAAUACCAGCUGCUGUAAG